ACACGAGAGAGGAGGUGGUCCAGAGGUGAAUUCUUCUAGGACGCGUGAGGUGACUGCGCGCUAGCGCAGCUCGUCUGUCGGACACCUCCGGUGCGCCGACGUCGGACGUGGUGGCAAUACAACGCAGUCACCGCAGCCCGUGGGAGCGCGACUCGUCCAUCGCGCGCCCGUCUCGAAGGAGGCGGGAGCCCACGGGCUGUUGCGU
RNAcentral lists this small RNA (205 nucleotides) under Luteipulveratus halotolerans. RNAcentral's name for it is "Actinobacteria sRNA Ms_IGR-5". It matches the Rfam family "Actinobacteria sRNA Ms_IGR-5". Lineage: Bacteria; Bacillati; Actinomycetota; Actinomycetes; Micrococcales; Dermacoccaceae. The record is from Rfam by way of RNAcentral.